AGGGUUCGAUUAUGGCUCAGGAUGAACGCUGGCGGCGUGCUUAACACAUGCAAGUCGAACGAACCUUCGGGUUAGUGGCGGACGGGUGAGUAACGCGUGAGAAUCUGCCCUCAGGAGGGGGAUAACGGUUGGAAACGGCCGCUAAUACCCCAUAUGCCUACUGGUGAAAUGAAUUUCGCCUGAGGAUGAGCUCGCGUCUGAUUAGCUAGUUGGUGAGGUAAUGGCUCACCAAGGCUUCGAUCAGUAGCUGGUCUGAGAGGAUGAUCAGCCACACUGGGACUGAGACACGGCCCAGACUCCUACGGGAGGCAGCAGUGGGGAAUUUUCCGCAAUGGGCGAAAGCCUGACGGAGCAACGCCGCGUGAGGGACGAAGGCCUCUGGGCUGUAAACCUCUUUUCUCAAGGAAGAAGAUAUGACGGUACUUGAGGAAUAAGCCACGGCUAAUUCCGUGCCAGCCGCCGCGGUAAUAC
This 471-nucleotide ribosomal RNA is filed under the name uncultured bacterium. RNAcentral describes it as "bacterial SSU rRNA". It matches the Rfam family "Bacterial small subunit ribosomal RNA", at positions 8 to 526 of the family's 1533-position model. The record is from RNAcentral.